CAAUUUUCCAACAACGGAUCUCUUGGCUCUCGCAUCGAUGAAGAACGCAGCGAAAUGCGAUAAGUAAUGUGAAUUGCAGAAUUCAGUGAAUCAUCGAAUCUUUGAACGCACCUUGCGCUCCUUGGUAUUCCGAGGAGCAUGCCUGUUUGAGUGUCAUUA
This 159-nucleotide ribosomal RNA is filed under the name Melanoleuca sublanipes. RNAcentral's name for it is "5.8S ribosomal RNA". It matches the Rfam family "5.8S ribosomal RNA". From Rfam's summary of the family: 5.8S ribosomal RNA (5.8S rRNA) is a component of the large subunit of the eukaryotic ribosome. It is transcribed by RNA polymerase I as part of the 45S precursor that also contains 18S and 28S rRNA. Lineage: Eukaryota; Fungi; Basidiomycota; Agaricomycetes; Agaricales; Pluteaceae. The record is from RNAcentral.